GGCCUCACUAUACAAAUAAGAUAGCACACAUUUUCAUAAAGGCCCUUCAGAUAACUUGCACACAUUUAAUAUUAGCCAUUUCGGCCUCACCACAUAUACAUAUCUUGUACAUCAAUUUCAUCAUAUCAAAACCACUUAUAUAUCAUUUCCUAACAUCACAAUUCAAAAUUCACAUAUGGUUCUAAUCAAUAUCUUAUAAGCAACUCAAACAGUUUUAUCAAUGUUUACAACAUAUUCUCAAGUUUACGACAAUCUGUCUUUCUGCACAACAGUCACUAAAUUAUUUAUAUCUGGAGCUACGAAACUCCGAAUUAAGUUCCAUA
This 323-nucleotide long non-coding RNA is filed under the name Gossypium barbadense (sea-island cotton). RNAcentral's name for it is "long non-coding RNA (GBAR_LNC009867)". Lineage: Eukaryota; Viridiplantae; Streptophyta; Magnoliopsida; Malvales; Malvaceae. The record is from RNAcentral.